GGGGGCGAAAUGGCUUCGACGGGGAUUUUUGAAGCUAUGGUAGCAUGUCGAGUGCCGCAGACUCGUUAAACGGCGGAAACAAAAUAAUCGCAGACGAUUAUAAUUACGCCGUAGCAGCGUAGAGCUGCUACCGUCCUGCUGAGUUCCUUCCGCAAAUUCAGUAAAGGGCGUCGACUCGCGGAACAGCCGUUUAUGGGUGCCUGUAUCAUAAUCGGUUAAACUUACAGGAUAAGCCGUCAGGUAUCCUGCCCGAAGGAGACCAGAUAGAUGAAAAUUAAAGUUUGGGAUAAACAUGUAGAAUCCAUUGUGGAUUGUUUUCGGACGCGGGUUCAACUCCCGCCGCCUCCACCA
This 351-nucleotide transfer-messenger RNA is filed under the name Desulfobacterales. RNAcentral describes it as "NBLS01 sp002084385 Standard tmRNA". It matches the Rfam family "transfer-messenger RNA". Rfam says of the family: Bacterial tmRNA, also known as 10Sa RNA or SsrA, is named for its dual tRNA and mRNA-like properties. RNAcentral also lists the same sequence under 1 other name. Lineage: Bacteria; Pseudomonadati; Thermodesulfobacteriota; Desulfobacteria. The record is from RNAcentral.